Molecule: ribosomal RNA, 568 nt
Filed under: Naganishia albidosimilis
Lineage: Eukaryota; Fungi; Basidiomycota; Tremellomycetes; Filobasidiales; Filobasidiaceae
Description: eukaryotic LSU rRNA
Rfam family: Eukaryotic large subunit ribosomal RNA
Source: RNAcentral
GGAUUCCCCUAGUAACGGCGAGUGAAGCGGGAAGAGCUCAAAUUUGAAAUCUGGUAGCCUUCGGUUGCCCGAGUUGUAAUCUAGAGAAAUGUUUUCCGUGCCGGCCCAUGUACAAGUCCCUUGGAACAGGGCGUCAUAGAGGGUGAGAAUCCCGUCCUUGACAUGGACCCCCGGUGCUUUGUGAUACAUUUUCAACGAGUCGAGUUGUUUGGGAAUGCAGCUCAAAAUGGGUGGUGAAUUCCAUCUAAAGCUAAAUAUUGGCGAGAGACCGAUAGCGAACAAGUACCGUGAGGGAAAGAUGAAAAGCACUUUGGAAAGAGAGUUAAACAGUACGUGAAAUUGUUGAAAGGGAAACGAUUGAAGUCAGUCAUGCUCUUUGGUAUUUAUAUCAUUGAGUGGGGUCAACAUCAGUUUUGAUCGAUGGAUAAAGGCACUAGGAAGGUAGCACUCUCGGGUGAACUUAUAGCCUAGCGUCAUAUACAUUGAUUGGGACUGAGGAACGCAGCAUGCCUUUAUGGCCGGGAUUCGUCCACGUACAUGCUUAGGAUGUUGACAUAAUGGCUUUAAA